Molecule: long non-coding RNA, 435 nt
Organism: Rhinolophus ferrumequinum (greater horseshoe bat)
Lineage: Eukaryota; Metazoa; Chordata; Mammalia; Chiroptera; Rhinolophidae
Exons: 4
Source: RefSeq, a predicted model, not a curated record
AGCUGCCAAGCAAUUCCAUCUUAUGGAGGCGCCAUAAUUUCCCUAUUUCCUGAUGGAGGAAAAUCUUCAAAAUUUUUGUUAUGAACACCAUGGCCAUGGAACCCUUUAUGCAGUGAGUUCUGAGCACAGCAUAGCAACCAGCAAGAAAAACCAUACAAUGAAAGGGCCUCAGCUUCCACACACCAUCUUGAUGAAAACUUGAAGUGACAAUUCAUGAAGUUGGGAGCUUCCCACAGUGCAAUUCAGCCUCUGUUGUUACCUGCUUCACACUGUGCAGUGUCAGACAGUUGGUUGCAGUCAGAGAGCCAGGGCUCAAAUCCUGGACUUUUGUCUUUGGAACCUGAGACUCCUCAGUUUACUGAGGUAAUGGCUUCUGACAUUUGGCACAGAGGGAAUGAGUAUAAAAAUAAUGACAGCAUAGAAGGAAUGCUGACC